UACGAAGGGGGCUAGCGUUGUUCGGAAUUACUGGGCGUAAAGCGUAUGCAGGCGGACUUUUAAGUCGGGGGUGAAAUCCCGAGGCUCAACCUCGGAACUGCCUUCGAUACUGGAAGUCUUGAGUCCGGGAGAGGUGAGUGGAACUCCGAGUGUAGAGGUGAAAUUCGUAGAUAUUCGGAAGAACACCGGUGGCGAAGGCGGCAUCCUGGACCAACACUGACGCUGAGGAGCGAAAGCCAGGGGAGCAAACGGG
This 253-nucleotide ribosomal RNA is filed under the name uncultured bacterium. RNAcentral describes it as "partial 16S ribosomal RNA". It matches the Rfam family "Bacterial small subunit ribosomal RNA", at positions 524 to 776 of the family's 1533-position model. The record is from RNAcentral.